UGGGGGAUAUUGCACAAUGGGCGAAAGCCUGAUGCAGCGACGCCGCGUGGGGGAUGAAGGCCUUCGGGUUGUAAACUUCUUUUGCUCUGAACAAGGCAUGCCUUUGGGGUGUGUUGAGUGUAGGGGUUGAUUAGCGCCGGCUAACUACGUGCCAGCAGCCGCGGUAAUACGUAGGGCGCGAGCGUUGUCCGGAAUUAUUGGGCGUAAAGGGCUUGUAGGUGGCUGGUUGCGUCUGUCGUGAAAGCUCAUGGCUUAACUGUGGGUUUGCGGUGGGUACGGGCUGGCUUGAGUGCAGUAGGGGGGGCUGGAAAUCCUGGUGUGGCGGUGGAAUGCGCAGAUAGCAGGAGGAAUACCGGUGGCGAAGGCGGGUCUCUGGGCUGUUACUGACGCUGAGGAGCGAAAGCGUGGGGAGCGAACAGG
RNAcentral lists this ribosomal RNA (420 nucleotides) under Fusobacteriota bacterium. RNAcentral describes it as "Fusobacteria bacterium partial 16S ribosomal RNA". It matches the Rfam family "Bacterial small subunit ribosomal RNA", at positions 355 to 776 of the family's 1533-position model. Lineage: Bacteria; Fusobacteriati; Fusobacteriota. The record is from RNAcentral.